UACGGAGGGGACUAGCGUUGUUCGGAAUUACUGGGCGUAAAGCGCACGUAGGCGGCUUUGUAAGUUAGAGGUGAAAGCCCAGGGCUUAACCCUGGAAUUGCCUUUAAGACUGCAUCGCUAGAAUCGUGGAGAGGUGAGUGGAAUUCCGAGUGUAGAGGUGAAAUUCGUAGAUAUUCGGAAGAACACCAGUGGCGAAGGCGACUCACUGGACACGUAUUGACGCUGAGGUGCGAAAGCGUGGGGAGCAAACAGG
RNAcentral lists this ribosomal RNA (253 nucleotides) under uncultured bacterium. RNAcentral's name for it is "partial 16S ribosomal RNA". It matches the Rfam family "Bacterial small subunit ribosomal RNA", at positions 524 to 776 of the family's 1533-position model. The record is from RNAcentral.